RNAcentral lists this small nuclear RNA (100 nucleotides) under Erinaceus europaeus (western European hedgehog). The record is from RNAcentral. Lineage: Eukaryota; Metazoa; Chordata; Mammalia; Eulipotyphla; Erinaceidae.
GUGCUCACUCACUUUGGCAGCAUAGAUGCUAAAAUUGGAACAGUAUCAAGAUUAGCAUAGCAAGGAUGACACACACAUUUGUGAAGUCGUCCUUAUGUAU